RNAcentral lists this ribosomal RNA (253 nucleotides) under uncultured bacterium. Its description in RNAcentral is "partial 16S ribosomal RNA". It matches the Rfam family "Bacterial small subunit ribosomal RNA", at positions 524 to 776 of the family's 1533-position model. The record is from RNAcentral.
UACGUAGGGCGCAAGCGUUGUCCGGAAUUAUUGGGCGUAAAGAGCUCGUAGGCGGUCUGUCGCGUCGGCUGUGAAAGCCCCGGGCCUAACCUGGGAACUGCAUUUGAUACUCUAGAGCUUGAGUACGGGAGAGGAGAGUGGAAUUCCCAGUGUAGAGGUGAAAUUCGUAGAUAUUGGGAAGAACACCGGUGGCGAAGGCGGCUCUCUGGACCGUAACUGACGCUGAGGCGCGAAAGCGUGGGGAGCAAACAGG